ACACUCCAAACCCCAGAGCUAGGGUUCCCUUGAGAAAAAGAAAACCAUGAAGGUUUCGCGUCCCCAACUCGCACGCGCCACCAUCAGCGGCUCCAGCCAAGCGGACCAGCCACCACGAGGGGUUGUCGACGGCGACACCAACGCCUUCGGCGGAAGAACCACCGCCGGUUGCGCCGGACCACCGUCUUGCACUUUCUUCUUCGCGCGAAACCAGCCCCAACUCCGAGAACCCAUCGUUCCCGCCGCCGUUGACGAAACCAAUGACCACAAGCCGCGAACCAAGGUCGCGCCGGUAACGCUGCUCGUCGCCGGCCGUCGGGUCUUCUCCCUUCCUUCUCCUUUUCCCGCACGAGAAAAGCUCUCUCUCGCUCCUUCGUCAAACACCGCCUGAGCGAUCCUGGCCACCAUGAAGCAGAGCACCUCCGUUCCACAGGUCGCGGCUAAGGUCGCCGCCGGACCUCACGUUGACGUCUUCCACCGCCAUGGCCAAAUCCACUUCCACCCAAAAUCGUCACUGCGCCAGCCACCUCUAGGAAUCCCACUGUUUAGCUAUCAGAGAAAACAGCCCCAAAGGCUUGCCGAGACAAUGCUUGGGGGUUUGCUUAUUUCCUGUGAGAAUCAGGAUGGUUCUUGAAUGAUCGGAAGCUGACCUAGACGAUGAAACUAUUGUAUAUAUUUUUUAUUUUAUAUUUUUUUUUUGCAGGGAAAUGACUUUGGGGUUACUGACAUUUCCAUAAUGAAACUGAGAUUAUGAGUGGGUGAUGAUGUAUCUGCUUAGAUGUCUCUCUCGCAGGAAGAUGGUCACAGGGGUUUGCAUGGUAUAAGCGAAGAUUGAUGAAGGAUAAUGGGUGUUUUGUCUCUGUUUGCAGGUUUGUGGUAAGGCAUGUUUUUGUUGUUAUGAAGCACGAAUGACAAACAGUAUGUGGAAGCAAAUCAUGUAUAUCGUCAAACAGAAUGGAUAGGAAAAGAUGACCAAGAUAUGCAUACAACACUCAGAAUAUUCAAUGACAACCAUUCAUAAGCAUACAAAGGUAUUCUAACAGCUCAGGAAUAUUCCACAACAACCAUACAUAAGCGGUAGAGUAAAAAGGCAUUCUAACAGCGAUUGUGAAAUAAGUUUACUCGUUUACCGCUUGGAGCUUCCUUAGUACGGUUGCUGUGACAUGAUGAAUGAAGUUUGUGCUGAUGGGGAAGAAAGUAGACUACUAUAGUGGCCGAGUUUCUGUGCUAUUGCUAACUUCAUACCCCUGAUGAUCUCCUCUCUCCUCUUGGCCGGCUCCUCUUUUGUUUCUUUGUAGGUGAACGGAGGUUGCAGAUGUGCGAAGGAUGGCGUCUCAGCUUGAAAAAAAGGAAAAAAUUGGGUAGAGGAUUGUGCUUGUAUGCGUGAUGGGGGAACCGUUUCUGUUGAGUGAAUAGAGAGUGAAUCGGAGCUGAGAGUAGUGUGUGUGUGAGGGAGGAUGAUGUUGCUUCUGUUAGCCCCCAAGAACCCUCUUCUUCUCCCCCUCCAAGAUAUUGAAGCAAUUUGAUACCCACCAGACGCUCCUCCCUGUCGCACUGCCUCCAGGAAGAUCAGAGCAUAUCUCUUUCUUGGGAUUUCUUUUUUUGUCUUUUCUUUCUUUUUCUGCGUUUAGAUUGGAUCAAAUAACCAAAGCCGUUCAAAUUUCUUUUCCCGUAUGAUGUUUGAUUGCAGAAACUGUGUAAGAAAUUCACAGGCUUUUCCACGCUCCCAUUGUAUGGGAUAUGUUGAGUGUUUAACGAUACCUGAUGCACUGUUGCUUUGAGUUGCAGGAAAAAGCAUAGUUGACUCUUUUGUGAUUUUUGUUUCUUUCUGUUUUUUUUUUCGUUUUCUUUUUUUUUUCGUCUUUUU
This 1867-nucleotide long non-coding RNA is filed under the name Vigna radiata. RNAcentral describes it as "long non-coding RNA (VRAD_LNC011003)". The record is from RNAcentral. Lineage: Eukaryota; Viridiplantae; Streptophyta; Magnoliopsida; Fabales; Fabaceae.